RNAcentral lists this long non-coding RNA (1158 nucleotides) under Dromaius novaehollandiae (emu). RNAcentral describes it as "lncRNA (ENSDNVG00000015708.1)". Lineage: Eukaryota; Metazoa; Chordata; Aves; Casuariiformes; Dromaiidae. The record is from RNAcentral.
AAGGUUGCUGUCUAUCCUCUCGUGCCCUUUGCCAUCCAUGUGUUUCUGGCCUGCCUUCUCCUAACCUUUUUGUGGUGUGCCUCCUUAAAAAAAAAAAAAAAAAGAAAAGAAAAAAAACUAGCUGAAGAAACAUGCAUUAUUGGUUAGUUGAAGCAGAUUUUGCUGAAAUACAGACACAUACAUACAGUUCUGGCUGAUGGUAGCUGUUUAUGAAUAAACAUAUCUACUCAUGACUGUGAUGUGGAAUCAGGCUACUGUAGAUACAAAUUAUGCUUUUUAACAGCUGUGGAUGGUGAAAUGGUUACAAAUGCAUGUGUGUGCGGUUUAGACAGGGUCUGAUAUAUCACUCAUUUGUGCUUUUGUAAUUAAUUGUAAGAACAAGACUGUUCUUUGCAUGUGUUUUUUCUUUGCUACCAAGCACAAUAGAGAGUUAUAAUCAUCUCGCACCUUAAGUUUGUAAUAAAAUAUUGUUGGUAGCCUAGCAAAGAAAUUUGUUAAAUUUGUUAAAUUUGCUACACAAACUCCCAUAAUGCUAAGAAUUUUUUUGCUAGGACCCCUAAAUGACUUUUACCUCUGAAUACAAUCGAAAACAAAAUUUCUGAUGUUUAAGAAACACUUCUGCAUGUUUUUUCCAUCUCAACAUAAUGAAGCAUAAUUUAAGACUAUGGGCAGACGAGGGGGUAAAUGAUGCAUGUAAUGAUUGUUUUAACAUUUACAAGAAAAUAAUUUAUUUAAAUUGGAUUAAGCCUUAAUAUUAUCACACUUUUCUACCUGAUUUAGCAUGGAGGGGGUGCUGGGUAAAGAGAGAGAAGGCGAUUUCAUGGUAAAGUGUUUUAAGUAUUUCAUAUUUUCUUUUCUUUUUGAUCAUCCAGUCAUCCUGCCCCACAGCCAUGCAAAUGUUCCUACAUACAAAUGUUCAUUGCCGCCUAUUACAUUCUUCUGCUGACAGUGAAGAGGUCAUGCUAAAUCAAACUGAUGGAGAAAGUGGACAUCAUCUUUACCCAGGAUGCCCAAAUUAAUUCUACUGAGACAAAGGGUCAACCUCACAUUGGCUGGCUUGUCUUCUUGAUUUCUUCAUUCAUGGUGCUAAGCAGAGUUGAUGAGACGGAAAAAGGAAAGUGGCAGGGGUCGCUGAAUCUGAGCAUCUCCACCAGCUAA